RNAcentral lists this ribosomal RNA (492 nucleotides) under uncultured bacterium. RNAcentral describes it as "partial 16S ribosomal RNA". It matches the Rfam family "Bacterial small subunit ribosomal RNA", at positions 29 to 507 of the family's 1533-position model. The record is from RNAcentral.
AGUGAACGCUGGCGGUAUGCCUAAUACAUGCAAGUCGAACGACAACACAGUGAGCUCUCGCUCUUACGGGUGGCGAGUGGCGGACGGGUAACACGUACAUCGCCUUCCUCUUUUACGUGGGUAAUAACGUGAGACCACUUACGCUACUACCUCAUACGUCCUACGGGUGAGAUCAGUAGUUCUUCGCACCUUUCGCGACUGUAUGAGCCGAUGUCGGAUUAGCUAGUUGGCGGGGUAAAGGCCCACCAAGGCGACGAUGCGUAGCUGGUCUGAGAGGAUGAUCAGCCACACUGGAACUGAGACACGGUCCAGACUCCUACGGGAGGCAGCAGUAGGGAAUAUUGGGCAAUGGGCGAAAGCCUGAUGGAGCAAUACCGCGUGAGUGAAGAAGGUCUUCGGGUCGUAAAGCUCUUUUGUUAGGGAAGAACAACAGCGGAUUAAACCAUGGCUGUCUUGACGGUACCUAAAGAAAAAGCACCGGCUAACUACGUG